This 2532-nucleotide long non-coding RNA is filed under the name Astyanax mexicanus (Mexican tetra). RNAcentral's name for it is "lncRNA (ENSAMXG00005009929.1)". The record is from RNAcentral. Lineage: Eukaryota; Metazoa; Chordata; Actinopteri; Characiformes; Acestrorhamphidae.
AAGGGGGGCAGCAUGAAAGAGAGAGAGAGAGAAACAGAGAGAGAGAGAGAAACAGAGAGAGAGAGAGAAAGAGGAAGACAGAAAGGGGGGAAGAGACAGAAAGAGAGAGAAAUGGAGAGAGAGAGAGAAAAUCACAGUGUAACCAGAAGAGAGUUCCGGAGGGGCAAGAACAGAAAAUACUAAUUAAAAGUCAUUUUUUAUAUAUAAUUAUGUUACUAUUAUUUUUUUUUUAUAUAAAACUGUAAUAAAAUAACUAAUAAAACACUAGUGUUAAAAUAUUAUUAAAGACUAAAAUAUAAAUACCAAUACUGAUAAUAAAUCAUGUUUAAACAAAAUACUAAAUCGUACACUUAUAGUUAUUUUGCCAUUUGCUUUAAACGUGUGACAGACAGAUAUUUUGACCUAGUUUAAGCUUCUGAAGGGAGGGUUUUAGACUGAGUUUGGGCUGGAUAUUUUUGGAGGACCUGGCAACCCUGCCCUUCAGUUCAGAGUUGAGGUAAAUCGGAGAGGGUAAAGGACAUCAGCUCAUCACCGCUACACAGCUUUAAGACGGAGAUUAUCAUGAGUUCUAUCUUGGAUCCAUGAGACUCGGAUCCACAGAUAUGCAGAUCUACCACGUCCCGGGGGCUGUGCUCCUCCUGACCUUCUACUUUCAGUCUGUUGAAUCAGCUUUACCUUCAGUGAAGGUGGAGUUUAACGGUACUGCUGUUCUGCCCUGCUCUGAGAGAUGUUCUGGAGUGGUCAGAUGGUCCAUCCUCUCCAGAUGGUCUCAGAAUCCCUCUGAUAUUCUGGCUGAGUGUGAUCAGACAUCCUGCAGAUCACUGAAGGAGGGAUAUCAGAUGAUCCAUGAUCAAUACCUGCAGGGGAAUCUCUCUCUGAUCAUCAGUGAAGCUGAUUUCAGUAAGAGGAGCUGGUAUACCUGUAACUGUGAUGUUGAAAAGAUCUGUUAUGUGAGUCUUCGUCUUGAGCCUCCUGAGUUAUCUCUGCAGAUAAAGGCUGGAGAGUCUCUCACUCUGGACUUUCCUGUAUCAGAACCAGUGCAGGUGAUGUUCAACAGGACUGGAGACGCUAACGCAGUUCCUGUGAAGGUCUUUGAGGGGAGUAAAAUCCAGUGUGACCCGGUGUAUGAGAAAAGAGCAGUGCUGGGUCCACAGCUAAAGGAGCUGAAGAUCUCAGACAGUGGUGUUUACACUCUAGUGGACACCAAGAACGAGGAGGUGGUGUCCAUAUUCAGAAUCACAGUUAUAGAGGAGAAGAGAAGCUGGGUUUGGAGGUUUUGGGAGAAAGAUGAAUGUUUCAUCGUUUUUUUUGUGGGGGUGGGGCUUGGAGUGUUGGUGGGCAUCUUUGUCCCACCACAGAUAAUGCGAUUCAGUAGAUGGCUGUGGAGAAAAGUACGGCGUCUACGUGGUGAUGAUAACAGUGAUAAGAGUUCUGCUGCUGCUGCUGCUGGGGGCAGUGAUCAGUCUCCUGGUCCUGAAGGUGUUCCCCUGAAAGAGCCCAUCUCAGAUUAGUGUAUGGAAACACGGACUGUAAUGGAUCAGAUCCUUCAUGUUGUGUUUCUGUGUGAGAAAAGACAGACGACUGAAGAUCAGCGUCAGCCACGGAUUCGAAACCCUAAUUGGCAUAUUUCUAAUUUUAGUAGUGGUAUGUUUGGGGAAUUUAAUCUUUGUACUUUUCUGCACUUUUAAUACGUUAAGGGACGUGUAGAAGUGAUUUUAAUGGCAUAAUGUAUUAAAUAAUUUAAGUUUAACCUUUUCUUUUUUACCUUUUGCUUAUCUGUCUAAAUUAAAAUUUUGCACAAGUGUUAAAGGGUAGCUUACAGAAGCCUACCUUUAUUCUGUUUACUUAUUAAUUUCUUUAUUGUUUUAUAUAUUUUUAUGUAACUUUACUUGGUUUGGUGUUUUGUGAAUUUAAGCACUUAAAGCUCUUGUUGAUCACUGGUUUUAUUUGAUGGUUGUGCUACAGGUUUACAUAUUUGAAUCUCAUGGCCUUUUGAUGCCUAUGAUUGUUGUACUGAAACAAUAUGAGUUCUCCUAGUGGUGUAAAUGUUAAUGCACUUCCUAAUACUUACUAAGAUUGUGUGAAAAGUCAUCACUCUCUCUUUAAGUCACCUCCAGUAAUACUUUAAAUCCCUUACCAGACCUGGGUGGGAGCUAGAUUUACCUACCACAACCUCAAGGUGGUGCUGGAGUGUAAGUUUUUGUGGGCUUAGUGGUUGAGGCUACAUAUGGGUGGUCUACCACAUCUUGACAUCCUUACACUCACCUCUUUUCAUCUCAGGUUUUGGCUUUAUGUUAAAUAUGACAACUUGUAUAGAUUCAAAGCAUCCCUCUGAAUAACAAGCACAAAAACAUCAAAAUGUGACAAAUGCACAGUGUUUCCAUUUUAUUAAAAAUGCCAUACAUUAAGAUUGACUAUUGUUAAAUUAAUAAUGAGUUUUUGUUGGCUUAGACAUGUAAAUGUGAAAUUUACCUGAAUACACUCUGGAAACAUAGUUUAUAUAUAAUGAAUAAAAUGGGCUCUGUUUUGUCA